GUUCUUCGGAACUAGAGACCGGCGCACGGGUGCGUAACGCGUAUGCAAUCUACCUUUUACAGAGGGAUAGCCCAGAGAAAUUUGGAUUAAUACCUCAUAGUAUAUAGCCCUGGCAUCAGGAUUAUAUUAAAGUCACAACGGUAAAAGAUGAGCAUGCGUCCCAUUAGCUAGUUGGUAAGGUAACGGCUUACCAAGGCUACGAUGGGUAGGGGUCCUGAGAGGGAGAUCCCCCACACUGGUACUGAGACACGGACCAGACUCCUACGGGAGGCAGCAGUGAGGAAUAUUGGACAAUGGGCGCAAGCCUGAUCCAGCCAUGCCGCGUGCAGGAUGACGGUCCUAUGGAUUGUAAACUGCUUUUAUACGAGAAGAAACACUCCUUCGUGAAGGAGCUUGACGGUAUCGUAAGAAUAAGGAUCGGCUAACUCCGUGCCAGCAGCCGCGGUAAUACGGAGGAUCCAAGCGUUAUCCGGAAUCAUUGGGUUUAAAGGGUCCGUAGGCGGUUUAAUAAGUCAGUGGUGAAAGCCCAUCGCUCAACGGUGGAACGGCCAUUGAUACUGUUAGACUUGAAUUAUUAGGAAGUAACUAGAAUAUGUAGUGUAGCGGUGAAAUGCUUAGAGAUUACAUGGAAUACCAAUUGCGAAGGCAGGUUACUACUAAUUGAUUGACGCUGAUGGACGAAAGCGUGGGUAGCGAACAGGAUUAGAUACCCUGGUAGUCCACGCCGUAAACGAUGGAUACUAGCUGUUGGAAGCAAUUUCAGUGGCUAAGCGAAAGUGAUAAGUAUCCCACCUGGGGAGUACGUUCGCA
RNAcentral lists this ribosomal RNA (810 nucleotides) under uncultured bacterium. Its description in RNAcentral is "bacterial SSU rRNA". It matches the Rfam family "Bacterial small subunit ribosomal RNA", at positions 75 to 890 of the family's 1533-position model. The record is from RNAcentral.